GAGAGAAGCGGGCUCAUGGGCGAGUCUACGUAAAUAACCAAACGGUCCAAAUCGGGCGCAAACUUCUGUGGUUCUGUAGCAGCUCCCAUUGGUACCGCCCAAGCAAAUCGGAGAUCAAAGAGAAACUCUGGAUAUUUAAUUAAGAAACCUGGGACUGUUGGCUGAGCUGUCAGUCUUUCACAAAGGAUCCUAAAAUAGUGAAUUCGGUGCAUCACUACGUAAGGUGGCGCAAGGUCCGGAGCAGAGUGACCUCCUUGUGAAGUUUGUGGCAGCCAGUGGGGUCGCUGUAGUGCCGCACACAGCGAGUCGCAUCGUAGCCCUCAUUGUGCACAGAUUUGAGUGCAAUCUCCGUCCCGUUACGCAAAGUUCCCUUGUGGACAAAUUUCGUGAAUCUGGAGCCCACAUACUGGAGGCCAGUUACAUAGGGUUAUGGCAUUGCCUGAGAUGUUGAGCACUUCCAUGUCUAUCAGCCUCCCUACAACCAUCUCUA
This is a long non-coding RNA of Xenopus laevis (African clawed frog), 490 nucleotides long. RefSeq lists it as uncharacterized. The transcript is spliced from 4 exons. The record is from RefSeq and is a predicted model, not a curated record. NCBI's taxonomy places the organism in Eukaryota, Metazoa, Chordata, Amphibia, Anura, Pipidae.